RNAcentral lists this long non-coding RNA (208 nucleotides) under Mytilus galloprovincialis (Mediterranean mussel). The record is from RNAcentral. Lineage: Eukaryota; Metazoa; Mollusca; Bivalvia; Mytilida; Mytilidae.
GAGCAACAUUGGAAGAUGUGGAAUUUGGAGUUGGAAUUUUCAAAAUAUCUGUUGUUACCAUGGAAACAAUGCAAAAAGGUCAAAAUUUUCAAAAAAAAUAAAAAUGCUGCAAACUGGAUGAAACUUUACAGGAAUGGUCACUAGCAUACGCAGAGCUGACUUUUGAAGUUGAAAUUUUCAAAAUGGCCGCCGUAACCAUGGAAACAGC